AGGAAAGGGGCCAGCUUCUGUGACGACUGCUGCAGAGGCAGGUGCAGUUUGUGUGCCAUAGAUAUUAACUUCGAUAAGCACUUAAUGAGUGCCUUCUCUGUGCAAGAAUGGGGAGGAACAAAAUGCAGCUCCUACCCUCCUGGGGCUUUAGUUGUACCAUAAUAACAGGAAUUUUCAUCUGCUUGGCUCCUUUCCUCAAAGAACAAAGAAGACUUUGCUUCAUUAAAGUGUCUGAGAAGGAAGGUUUGAACAGGAUCCCUCUGGCUGGUGUGUGAAGAAUUAACUGUAGAUGGGCAAGUGUGGAAGGAGGGAGAGCAGUCAGGAAGCUGCCACAACCAUCUACGUGAGAGAGAAUCGUGUAACAGACUCUACUCAAUAUUGAUCUUAACUGAUCCAGUUCUCCAGUCUCCCUGGAAAACAAUGGAUUGAUGCCCAGGGUACGCUGAACACUGGAACCAUAGUCACUUCUGCACUUCACACGAUUCUGCUCCCACCAGUUGAGCUACCAACAGUUCCUGGUGCUUUUGCUUCCCAAACAUAUUUAUGCCAUUUGUUGCUUAUUACUGUACUUACUUAAUUUGAUUAAAUAUUAAGUAAAAUGA
Molecule: small RNA, 602 nt
Filed under: Pongo abelii (Sumatran orangutan)
Lineage: Eukaryota; Metazoa; Chordata; Mammalia; Primates; Hominidae
Description: processed transcript
Source: RNAcentral